Molecule: ribosomal RNA, 274 nt
Filed under: uncultured bacterium
Lineage: Bacteria
Description: partial 16S ribosomal RNA
Rfam family: Bacterial small subunit ribosomal RNA
Source: RNAcentral
AUACGGAGGGGGCUAGCGUUGUUCGGAAUUACUGGGCGUAAAGCGCGCGUAGGCGGGCUGGUCAGUUGGGGGUGAAAUCCCGAGGCUCAACCUCGGAACUGCCCUCAAUACUACCAGUCUUGAGUUCGAGAGAGGUGAGUGGAAUUCCUAGUGUAGAGGUGAAAUUCGUAGAUAUUAGGAAGAACACCAGUGGCGAAGGCGGCUCACUGGCUCGAUACUGACGCUGAGGCGCGAAAGCGUGGGGAGCAAACAGGAUUAGAUACCCUAGUAGUCC